This 329-nucleotide ribosomal RNA is filed under the name uncultured eukaryote. Its description in RNAcentral is "partial 18S ribosomal RNA". It matches the Rfam family "Eukaryotic small subunit ribosomal RNA", at positions 1470 to 1796 of the family's 1831-position model. The record is from RNAcentral.
CCCUUAGAUGUCCUGGGCCGCACGCGCGCUACACUGAGUGUCUGAGAUACGAGUCUGCCUGGUCCGGCAAGGUCUAGGUAAUCGCUAAAAGACACAUCAUGCUUGGGAUAGAUUAUUGCAAAUAUUAAUCUUGAACGAGGAAUUCCUAGUAAGCGCAAGUCAACAGCUUGCGUUGAUUACGUCCCUGCCCUUUGUACACACCGCCCGUCGCUACUACUGAUUGGAUGUUUAAGCGAGUUUCUCGAACUGCUAGCGACUUAGCUUCGGUGAGGUCGCAGUGUGGGAAGUGAACCUAGCUUUGGUGUCUAGAGGAAGUAAAAGUCGUAACA